GACGAACCGUCCAAACGUUAUUCGGAAUCACUGGGCUUACAGAGUUCGUAGGCGGUCUGGCAAGUUGGGUGUGAAAUCCCUCGGCCUAACCGAGGAACUGCGCUUGAAACUACCAGACUCGAGGGGGAUAGAGGAAAGCGGAACUGAUGGUGGAGCGGUGAAAUGCGUUGAUAUCAUCAGGAACACCGGUGGCGAAGGCGGCUUCCUGGGUCUUACCUGACGCUGAGGAACGAAAGCGUGGGUAGCAAACAGG
This 253-nucleotide ribosomal RNA is filed under the name uncultured bacterium. RNAcentral's name for it is "partial 16S ribosomal RNA". It matches the Rfam family "Bacterial small subunit ribosomal RNA", at positions 524 to 776 of the family's 1533-position model. The record is from RNAcentral.